Triticum dicoccoides is the source of this 792-nucleotide long non-coding RNA. RefSeq lists it as uncharacterized. The transcript is spliced from 3 exons. The record is from RefSeq and is a predicted model, not a curated record. Lineage: Eukaryota; Viridiplantae; Streptophyta; Magnoliopsida; Poales; Poaceae.
CAGUGGCAGUGAGAAAGCGGAGCCUCAGCUCCGGGCUCCCUGCACUGCGCUCUCUCUCCCCAACUUGACAGCUCACAUUCUCCCCCCGAGGCCGAAUCCCCUUUCUCCCGGUGCCUCACCAAUUUCGAUCGACGGCGCAAGGCGGCCGGCCGGAACCCAGUCGAGUCGAGCUCCUCCCGGCGCGGCCUUCAGCAGUGCGCGGCGCUCCAGCUCGUCUUCACCGUCCAGCCCGAAGAACAUACAGGAUCUGAAGUAUCAACCUCUUUAAUAUUCCUUCUCCCGGCAGCGGCGCACUUCGUCGGUUUUGUCCCGCUCGGCACUCUCCUCCCAGGCUCCCACCUAGUGUUUGCCGGUGGAAAACCAAAGAUGAAGCGGAGCAGCCUCGCGUGCGCGGCCAUCGGUCUGCUCGUCGCGUUCGGAUGGCUCGCAGCUGCUGGAGACUGCAGUCUUUCCCUCAAGUUCUGCGUCAUGAGGGAUUGCAAGACCAAAGGUGAGUUCUGGAAGUGGAAACCGGACUGCUUCUGCUGCGUCGUGCAGCCGGGCGUUCCGUGCUGGCACACGGUUAAGGAGUGCCAGGCAAAUUGCCGGGCCUGCAGCCCCAAGUGCUAGCUAGGAGUUACAUGUGUGAUCAUGUGUGUGUCUAUGUCCAAUGUUAGGAAAACCUGAUGCUACGCCCUGUUUGCUGUUGCAACCCCUGUCUACGUGUGGUACUACGCCUGUUUGCUGCUGUACUGAGGUGCGAGGCUGGGUUUUGUGAGUUCCAAUCUGCUUUGGUUUUGCCACACCCAAAGA